Molecule: long non-coding RNA, 902 nt
Organism: Meriones unguiculatus (Mongolian gerbil)
Lineage: Eukaryota; Metazoa; Chordata; Mammalia; Rodentia; Muridae
Exons: 3
Source: RefSeq, a predicted model, not a curated record
CAUGCGGAGGGUAGACUUUGUAGCGGAAUUCCCUCCUGGAGUUUACUGGGCAGCUCAUUCUUUGAUGCACCUCAUUUCACCCUAUAGGUGGUACCAGUCCACAACCAAACGUGCUUUGAGAGUAAAGUCCUCUCCAACAUGCCACUUCUAUCUGGGGAUUAGUUCGUUGGCCUUAGGUGGCAUCAUUGGCACCAGGGGCUUACCCUCCCUUUCCACCUGGAUGUGGCUCCCACCCGCACACAGAGGACAUAUUCCAGUCCCAGCUCCCCUUUCUCCCCCCCAAGACAAGUUUUUCACUGUGAGCUGCUUCCUCUUUGGAGCUAUACAAUGCUUCUGUCUGUGGAAGGAUCGGCCAGGGUUGGUAUCGUCUUCCUGGAUUCAUCCCUCUUCAAGAGAGACCCUGGGUGGCACCAGCCGAGAGUGCUCUGUGCUGCCACCUGGUGUCUGAUGCCCUCGCUACACUGCUGUCUCGGAGAUGGGAUGGGUUGGCAGCUCAGCGGGCCAGGAGAGAGGAAAAGAGACCAUAGGGCACCAGGCUGUGAUGGAAGAACGUUUGAAGGAAGAAGACUAAAGGAAGGUGAAGAACCCAGGGAGACAGAUGCUCUGGCUUCCAGAGGCAACCCCACCCCCCAUCUCAGAAGCCCCCGGGAGGUUCCAAGCCUGCUCUCUCCCCAUCCCCACUUCCCCAAGAUAACCGGGCACCGUUCAAAGAGCCAGCAGCUGCCUCUCUUCUACUUUCAAACCCUUGCAAGGAGAAACGCCAGAAAACGAUGACGAGGUUAAAGGAGAAAAUAAGUUACAUGACAGUUUCCAAAAUGGUUUUCGUUUUCCGCUGAAGAUGGGCCACCGUUCGGUUGUAAUACACACACGGUCCCAGCUUGUGCUUUACAAGAAGAGGGAAC